This is an RNA transcript of Mobula hypostoma (lesser devil ray), 1557 nucleotides long. It is a transcript of the gene named thiamin pyrophosphokinase 2, with no coding region annotated. NCBI's taxonomy places the organism in Eukaryota, Metazoa, Chordata, Chondrichthyes, Myliobatiformes, Myliobatidae. The record is from RefSeq and is a predicted model, not a curated record. The transcript is spliced from 9 exons.
GCUUCCUGCGCGUGCGCGGUGGUGGUUUUCCACUGAGCCAGUUGGUUACGCAUGUGCAGUGGUGAUUUCCCACCAGAGCCGGUUGGUUACGCAUGCGCGGUGAUGGUCUCCCGCCUGAGCCGGUUAGAUACGCAUGCGCGAUGGUGGCGCGGAACCGGCCGGGACGGUGAGGAGUCGAGUUGGAAGAGAUGGCGGGGGGCGGAUCUUGGUCGGCGGCGGUGCUCCAGCUCCUGAAGAGGAUGAAUUCAUUCCACUCGCAGGGGUCCUCCAGGAGCUCCUGCAGACCCUUGUAUGUGGCAGGCCAGCAGGUCGGAAUGGUACAGCCCCGCGUCGCCGCUCACCUCGCCGACUACCCCGACGUCUUCCGGCUGUCCCCCGGCGAGCUGGGGCCGGUGGAGCUGUGCGCCGGGCUCUCCACCUACGAAGAGCGGUCCCGCGCCCUCCGCCGCGUCCUCGACCACUGGAGGCACCUGCAGCUCUUCGGCUGCCUCCGCGGGUGGAGAGACGAGAGUUACGAUGUGAUGCCCAGGUUCUGUGACCUACCUCUUCUGCAGCUGGAGCGGUCGGCAGCCAGUUUGUUUGGGAUAAAGACCUACGGUGUCCACGUGAACGGAUUCACCCGCCUGCCGGACGGAGGGAUGGCCAUGUGGGUGGGCAGACGGGCACACUCCAAGCCCACCUUCCCUGGAAUGCUGGACAACCUGGCAGCGGGCGGACUAGCGGCUGGCUUGGGUGUGAAGGAGACCCUGGUGAAGGAGUGCGCAGAGGAGGCAUCCAUCCCGGAGUGCGUCGCCCGCAGGGCCAGAGCGGUCGGCAGUGUCAGUUACACCUACGAAGAUGCGCGUGGCAUCUUUCCCGAGUGCCAGUUUGUCUACGACCUGGAGGUCCCUGCAGACUUGGUGCCGCAGGUGGAAGACGGAGAGAUGCUGGAAUUCUACCUCUGGCCUCUGGAGCAAGUGAGAGAGGCCAUUGUGGGCCCGGAGUUCAAACCCAAUUGUGCCCUGGUGGCCCUGGACUUCCUCAUUCGGCACGGAGUGGUUGAUGCUGAUGGAGAGCGAUACUACCAGCAGUUCAUCGAGGGUCUGCACCGGGAGCUGUGAGACACUACCUCCAUGUGAGAACUUGUCGCUGAAUCUCUCGAGCAUCGAGCCAUUGACUGACAGGAACCCCGGCUGCUGGUUCUCCCCUCUCCCCAUCCAAUUCUGGGAGCAGAACUAUGGUGGGGACUGACCGAGGGGGUCCACGAUUAAAGUGUUCUCCCUGCAUGUCGUUUCCUCUGGGAGAUUUGGAGUAAGGAUGUGCUGCAACCUCUUGAAGAUGUUGUGUCAACCUCAACACCACCACCACCACGUCGUGAAGAUUCAAACAUCUUUCAAGAUGAAAGACGUCAAUCCUGAUGACCAUCACUUACAGACAUGUUACUGUGCUUUGGAAGUGUCAAUAACCAACCUUCUGAUGCAAGUAAAUGCAGAUACCUUGUAAGAUAUUUUGCCUGCACCAUACUUCAAUAAAUAUCACUUGCUUUUCAUUUGUCGUUUCUUUUCUCUUUAUUAUCCA